Molecule: ribosomal RNA, 492 nt
Filed under: uncultured bacterium
Lineage: Bacteria
Description: partial 16S ribosomal RNA
Rfam family: Bacterial small subunit ribosomal RNA
Source: RNAcentral
AUUGAACGCUGGCGGCAUGCUUUACACAUGCAAGUCGAACGGUAACAGGCCUUCGGGUGCUGACGAGUGGCGAACGGGUGAGUAAUGCAUCGGAACGUGCCCAGAGGUGGGGGAUAACGCAGCGAAAGCUGUGCUAAUACCGCAUGUGAUCUGAGGAUGAAAGCGGGGGACCAGGCAUCAAUGUUUGGCCUCGCGCCUUUGGAGCGGCCGAUGUCAGAUUAGGUAGUUGGUGGGGUAAAGGCCUACCAAGCCGACGAUCUGUAGCUGGUCUGAGAGGACGACCAGCCACACUGGGACUGAGACACGGCCCAGACUCCUACGGGAGGCAGCAGUGGGGAAUUUUGGACAAAGGGCGCAAGCCUGAUCCAGCAAUGCCGCGUGCGGGAAGAAGGCCUUCGGGUUGUAAACCGCUUUUGUACGGAACGAAAAGGCUCUGGCUAAUACCUGGGGCUGAUGACGGUACCGUAAGAAUAAGCACCGGCUAACUACGUG